UCUCCUGGAAACGGGUGGUAAUGCCGGAUGCUCCAGUUGACCGCAUGGUCCUCUGGGAAAGCUUUUGCGGUAUGGGAUGGGGUCGCGUCCUAUCAGCUUGAUGGCGGGGUAACGGCCCACCAUGGCUUCGACGGGUAGCCGGCCUGAGAGGGCGACCGGCCACAUUGGGACUGAGAUACGGCCCAGACUCCUACGGGAGGCAGCAGUGGGGAAUAUUGCACAAUGGGCGCAAGCCUGAUGCAGCGACGCCGCGUGCGGGAUGACGGCCUUCGGGUUGUAAACCGCUUUUGACUGGGAGCAAGCCCUUCGGGGUGAGUGUACCUUUCGAAUAAGCACCGGCUAACUACGUGCCAGCAGCCGCGGUAAUACGUAGGGUGCAAGCGUUAUCCGGAAUUAUUGGGCGUAAAGGGCUCGUAGGCGGUUCGUCGCGUCCGGUGUGAAAGUCCAUCGCUUAACGGUGGAUCCGCGCCGGGUACGGGCGGGCUUGAGUGCGGUAGGGGAGACUGGAAUUCCCGGUGUAACGGUGGAAUGUGUAGAUAUCGGAAAAGAACACCA
This 555-nucleotide ribosomal RNA is filed under the name Bifidobacterium adolescentis. RNAcentral describes it as "partial 16S ribosomal RNA". It matches the Rfam family "Bacterial small subunit ribosomal RNA", at positions 146 to 711 of the family's 1533-position model. The record is from RNAcentral. Lineage: Bacteria; Bacillati; Actinomycetota; Actinomycetes; Bifidobacteriales; Bifidobacteriaceae.